GGAGGGGCGGCCAGCCCCGGAGGCCGAAGUUGCCGGGCGCGGAGUGGAGGCGGGGGGAGGCAGGGAAACAGAGAACGGAAGCUCCAUGGUACUCAGCUCUCCUUGGACCCACCCACAUGGUGGCAGGGUUCUGCAUCCUUCCAAACAACCACAGAUCCAGUUCUGCUUGAGGGGAGGAGCAGACCCUCGCCCACAAUGCUGAAAGGAAGCAUGCAACCAGCCCCAGCUGGGGGUAGAGGCCUCCAACUCACAGCAGGUGUGCUGCUCACUGCCUUCCCAGCAACCGACUCUUGCUUCUACC
Long non-coding RNA from Mustela erminea (ermine), 301 nucleotides. RefSeq lists it as uncharacterized. Lineage: Eukaryota; Metazoa; Chordata; Mammalia; Carnivora; Mustelidae. The transcript is spliced from 3 exons. The record is from RefSeq and is a predicted model, not a curated record.